AGACUGCCGGCGUAAGCCGUGAGGAAGGUGGGGACGACGUCAAGUCAUCAUGGCCUUUAUGCCCAGGGCUACACACGUGCUACAAUGGCGCAUACAGAGGGUCGCGAAACCGCGAGGUGGAGCCAAUCCCAGAAAGUGCGUCCCAGUUCGGAUCGGAGUCUGGAACUCGACUCCGUGAAGGUGGAAUCGCUAGUAAUCGCGCAUCAGCCAUGGCGCGGUGAAUACGUUCCCGGACCUUGUACACACCGCCCGUCAAACCAUGGAAGUUGGGGGUGCCUGAAGACGGUGGCCAUAGAGGAACUGUCUAGGGUAAACUCAGUAACUGGGGUUAAGUCGUAACAAGGUAACC
This 349-nucleotide ribosomal RNA is filed under the name uncultured bacterium. RNAcentral's name for it is "bacterial SSU rRNA". It matches the Rfam family "Bacterial small subunit ribosomal RNA", at positions 1146 to 1501 of the family's 1533-position model. The record is from RNAcentral.